RNAcentral lists this ribosomal RNA (485 nucleotides) under uncultured bacterium. RNAcentral's name for it is "partial 16S ribosomal RNA". It matches the Rfam family "Bacterial small subunit ribosomal RNA", at positions 27 to 507 of the family's 1533-position model. The record is from RNAcentral.
GAUUGGACGCUGGCGGCAGGCCUAACACAUGCAAGUCGAGCGGAUGAAGGGAGCUUGCUCCUGGAUUCAGCGGCGGACGGGUGAGUAAUGCCUAGGAAUCUGCCUGGUAGUGGGGGAUAACGUCCGGAAACGGGCGCUAAUACCGCAUACGUCCUGAGGGAGAAAGUGGGGGAUCUUCGGACCUCACGCUAUCAGAUGAGCCUAGGUCGGAUUAGCUAGUUGGUGGGGUAAAGGCCUACCAAGGCGACGAUCCGUAACUGGUCUGAGAGGAUGAUCAGUCACACUGGAACUGAGACACGGUCCAGACUCCUACGGGAGGCAGCAGUGGGGAAUAUUGGACAAUGGGCGAAAGCCUGAUCCAGCCAUGCCGCGUGUGUGAAGAAGGUCUUCGGAUUGUAAAGCACUUUAAGUUGGGAGGAAGGGCAGUAAGUUAAUACCUUGCUGUUUUGACGUUACCAACAGAAUAAGCACCGGCUAACUUCGUG